AUUGAACGCUGGCGGCAGGCCUAACACAUGCAAGUCGAGCGGGGUUUUCGGACCUAGCGGCGGACGGGUGAGUAAUGCGUAGGAAGCUGCCCGAUAGAGGGGGAUACCAGUUGGAAACGACUGUUAAUACCGCAUAAUGUCUACGGACCAAAGUGUGGGACCUUCGUGCCACAUGCUAUCGGAUGCGCCUACGUGGGAUUAGCUAGUUGGUGAGGUAAUGGCUCACCAAGGCGACGAUCUCUAGCUGGUUUGAGAGGAUGAUCAGCCACACUGGAGCUGAGACACGGUCCAGACUCCUACGGGAGGCAGCAGUGGGGAAUAUUGGACAAUGGGCGCAAGCCUGAUCCAGCCAUGCCGCGUGUGUGAAGAAGGCCUUCGGGUUGUAAAGCACUUUCAGCGAGGAGGAAGGGUGGUGUGUUAAUAGCACAUCAUUUUGACGUUACUCGCAGAAGAAGCACCGGCUAACUCUGUGCCAGCCGCCGCUGUAA
RNAcentral lists this ribosomal RNA (488 nucleotides) under uncultured bacterium. RNAcentral describes it as "partial 16S ribosomal RNA". It matches the Rfam family "Bacterial small subunit ribosomal RNA", at positions 30 to 523 of the family's 1533-position model. The record is from RNAcentral.